RNAcentral lists this ribosomal RNA (373 nucleotides) under uncultured bacterium. RNAcentral's name for it is "bacterial SSU rRNA". It matches the Rfam family "Bacterial small subunit ribosomal RNA", at positions 523 to 898 of the family's 1533-position model. The record is from RNAcentral.
AUACGGAGGGUGCAAGCGUUAUCCGGAUUCACUGGGUUUAAAGGGUGCGUAGGCGGGCAGGUAAGUCAGUGGUGAAAUCCUAGAGCUUAACUCUAGAACUGCCAUUGAUACUAUCUGUCUUGAAUAUUGUGGAGGUAAGCGGAAUAUGUCAUGUAGCGGUGAAAUGCUUAGAUAUGACAUAGAACACCUAUUGCGAAGGCAGCUUACUACGCAUAUAUUGACGCUGAGGCACGAAAGCGUGGGGAUCAAACAGGAUUAGAUACCCUGGUAGUCCACGCCCUAAACGAUGGAUACUCGACAUACGCGAUACACUGUGUGUGUCUGAGCGAAAGCAUUAAGUAUCCCACCUGGGAAGUACGACCGCAAGGUUGAA